AGUGAACGCUGGCGGUAGGCCUAACACAUGCAAGUCGAACGGCAGCACAGUAAGAGCUUGCUCUUACGGGUGGCGAGUGGCGGACGGGUGAGGAAUACAUCGGAAUCUACUUUUUCGUGGGGGAUAACGUAGGGAAACUUACGCUAAUACCGCAUACGACCUACGGGUGAAAGCAGGGGAUCUUCGGACCUUGCGCGAUUGAAUGAGCCGAUGUCGGAUUAGCUAGUUGGCGGGGUAAAGGCCCACCAAGGCGACGAUCCGUAGCUGGUCUGAGAGGAUGAUCGGCCACACUGGAACUGAGACACGGUCCAGGCUACUACGGGAGGCAGCAGUGGGGAAUAGUGGACAAUGGGCGCAAGCCUGAUCCAGCCAUACCGCGUGGGUGAAGAAGGCCUUCGGGUUGUAAAGCCCUUUUGUUGGGAAAGAAAAGCAGCAGGUUAAUACCCCGCUGUUCUGACGGUACCCAAAGAAUAAGCACCGGCUAACUUCGUG
Molecule: ribosomal RNA, 492 nt
Filed under: uncultured bacterium
Lineage: Bacteria
Description: partial 16S ribosomal RNA
Rfam family: Bacterial small subunit ribosomal RNA
Source: RNAcentral